This 25-nucleotide microRNA is filed under the name Echinops telfairi (small Madagascar hedgehog). RNAcentral describes it as "Ete-Mir-652_5p* (star (passenger))". The record is from RNAcentral. Lineage: Eukaryota; Metazoa; Chordata; Mammalia; Afrosoricida; Tenrecidae.
ACAACCCUAGGAGUGGGUGCCAUUC